GACUUGAAGCUUGUUUUUCAUCAUGUAUUUCCACAUCAAUGAGUCUCCUCUAUCAACCUUUUUUGCCAUUGGAUGAGCUCUUUGACAGUAUUUGGCUUUAAGAAAUUGACUCCAUAAAGAAACUUUAGACCUGAAAUUCCACCAUUGUUUGUAUUGUAAAGAAGUGUAAAUAUCUUACAGCCUUUUGAUCCCUACCCCACCUUCAGUGUAUG
Molecule: long non-coding RNA, 212 nt
Filed under: Solanum tuberosum (potato)
Lineage: Eukaryota; Viridiplantae; Streptophyta; Magnoliopsida; Solanales; Solanaceae
Description: long non-coding RNA (STUB_LNC007206)
Source: RNAcentral